This 219-nucleotide unclassified non-coding RNA is filed under the name soil metagenome. RNAcentral's name for it is "partial contains 5.8S ribosomal RNA, internal transcribed spacer 2, and large subunit ribosomal RNA". The record is from RNAcentral.
AACUGAUACUACCUGCGGGAACCUGCGGAAGGAUCAUUACCGAGUACCGGGUCUUCUAGGCCCUUACUCCCACCCUUUGUAUACCUAAACCUUUGUUCGUUGCCUCGGUGGGGUUGAUCCCGUUAGGGGGACCCGCCGGGGGGACACCACUAAACUCUUGUCAACGGUGAAGUCUGAGAAUACACUUAAACAAGUUAAAACUUUUAACAACGGAUCUCU